UCCGUUUCACGAAGCAGGUUUAGUGAAAACUCUGAGUUUGUUAACCCUGAAAUGAGGGAAACUCAGAGUUUUCCGUUUCACAAAGGGAGGUAACUCAAACCAGAGACAGAGGGGUAACUCUAGCCUGUUUCACAAAAAGGGGUAACUUAAACUCUCGGUCAGUUACCAUAGUAACAGACUCUCUGACUCUAACCUGGUCGGGACCAGGUUUUUCUCAGUAAGCCUCGAGUUUCUCUCAGUCUCCGCCCUCUUUCAGCCACACACGCCAUUUCAUCUCCUCAUUCAUUCAGUCAGCUGGCGAGUUUUGGCGAAGUCUAGUUCUGCCGUGUGUCAAAAGCCCCUUUUCGACCAAAGAGCACCAGGUGCUAGGUUGGUUCAAAGUUGAGAGCCAGUGCUUUUUUGGUUCAAAUCUCGUGCCGCCCCAGAACGGGUUUGUGUUUCCACUCAAGGAGCAAAGUUGGAGCUGCGUCAUUGCGCCACCACAAAACGUGUGUACAUACUGCGUACGUAGCCGUUCAACAGCGUUCACGCCGUACAGAAACCCACACAACAACAAUUGAGGACUUCAUUGGAGUGGUGUACAUGGCUUUGCUAGUGUGUCUCGCCAUCGCUGAACAGCAAAACCUUCUGUUAGGGGUUACUCAUCGGCGUCGCCGUUCCAAUGCCCGGCGAUCACGUUUGAGAAGAAAGAUGUUUUUAGAUGUCACCCCGCCCUCUGCCCGUGACGUGCUCGGCUCUCAACUCUGGCCACCUCUGGCCCAGCAACGAGUUGGUGCCCGAAACGGCCCCAGUUUUUGGAGCCCGGAGCCGCAGCUGCAGUGGUCGAAACACAAAAAACCGGCGCCAAGUCGGGCGCCGGCUCCAACUCCGAACGGGCUCCACCCCGGUCGAAAAGGGGGUAAAAUGACGUCCUUUUAUGAACGAUCCAGUGGAUGAAGGAGCAGCAUUACUGUACAGAGAAUUAAAUAUUCGUCGGGAGAUUGUUAUCAGACCGCGCAUAGAUGUUUUGGCAUUUCCGGACAGUUAUCUUUUUGAACGGUACCGUUUCACCUCACAAUCCAUAACCUACAUACACAACCUAAUCCGUCCUUACAUUUACAACAUUACCAACUGCAGUCAUGCUCUCACAUCCCAGCAGAUAUUGUGUGUUGUGCUGCGGUUCUUUGCAAAUGGGAGUUUUUUAUAUAAUGUCGGAGAUGCAGAGCACUUCAGUAAAGCAACUGUAUGCAGGACGGUCAGAAAAGUGUUUCUGGAUCUGAAACGACUUUUACCAUCUUUGUGGUUUUCCCUGGACAUAAACCUGUCAGAGCCAUCAAGGAGGAGUUCCACAGGAUUGCAGGUGAAUGAUGUAGAGAUCUGUUAAAUUAAUUUUAAAUCAUAUCCAGUUAAUGACAUUGUGCUGCAACCUCAGACUGUGAUUAGUAAAUUUAAUUUCUUUUAGGAUUUCUCAGUGUGAUUGGCUGCAUUGAUGGAACACACAUCCCCAUCAAAGCUCCCAAAUAUAAUGAAGCUGAUUAUGUGAAUAGGAAGUCCAUUCACAGCAUAAAUGUGCAGGUAGCUUAGAGGUAGAUUGACUACGGUUUCAAAAUGUUAAAGACUGCAUCAUAGUUCAACAUCUGUCAUUCUCUGCACUGUCAAGAUCAUAUGUGAUGUUGCAUGCAUCAUUUCUAAUGUAGUGGCCUGGGUCUGUUCAUGACUGGAGGGUUUAUCAAGAGUCUAACCUGAGCAACAGACUGCAACGUGGGAAGCAGCCUAAAGAUUUUAACAAUAUAAUUCACUUGUCUCCCUCCUUUAAUAUACUCUAAUGUAUCCACUAUACAUUACAGGAGAGUUUGAUGGCCUUCUGCUGGGUGACAGGGGUUACCAUGCCAACCCAGGCUGAUGACCCCAUACCCUGAACCAGGCCCCCAACAGAACUUCAACUGGGCUCAUUGCAGGAUGAGAGCCCAGGUGGAGAUGACCAUAGACCUGCUGAAAGCCUGUUUCCAGUGUCUACAUCACCUCAGGGUGACUCCUGAGAGGCCUGUGAUAUUAUUGUGGCAUGUGUUGUUCUUCAUAAUAUUACCACUAUUAGAGUAGAGCAACACUCUGCCCUACAAACUGAAGACCCAGAUGAUGACCUCAUCCACCUGCCAGCUAUCCAGGACAGCAGAGCAGUCAGAGACACCAUAUGCAAUAAUCACUUUAGAGUUUAAGUCUCCAUCAUCACCACCACAGCAGUGAAAUAAACACAUGACAUACAUUUCAUUUGGUCUUCUUUAUUUCCUACAAAUAAAAGAGCUAGUUUAGUUAAUGUUCCAGUAGUUAACAUAAUUCACCUGUGACCUGCAUCCACCUCUAACUUGUGCUCCAGUAUUUCAAUUUCCAGAUCUGCCUUCUUAAUCUGGUGGUCCAAGUACUGCAUUUCUUUAUCUGUUUUUUGUAUUUUUCUCAGCAAGUGGAUUUUGUAUAUUUGUUUUACUGGUAACUGGGAAUACAUAAAGGACAUUAAAUUAUACAGUUGCACAUGAA
Long non-coding RNA from Amphiprion ocellaris (clown anemonefish), 2511 nucleotides. RefSeq lists it as uncharacterized. NCBI's taxonomy places the organism in Eukaryota, Metazoa, Chordata, Actinopteri, Pomacentridae. The record is from RefSeq and is a predicted model, not a curated record. The transcript is spliced from 2 exons.